GAGUUUAUCCUGCUCAGGAUGAACGUGGGCGGCGUGCCUAAUACAUGCAAGUCGAACGAAGACUGUAGUAAUACUGUCUUAGUGGCGAACGGGUGAGUAACGCGUGGGUGACCUGCCCCGAAGUGUGGGAUAACAGUCCGAAAGGAUUGCUAAUACUGCAUAAUAUCCAAGAGAUUAGACGCUUUUGGAUUAAAGGAGUAAUUCGCUUCGGGAGGGGCCCGCGUCCCAUCAGCUAGUUGGUAAGGUAAUGGCUUACCAAGGCGAUGACGGGUAGGGGACCUGAGAGGGUGGCCCCCCACAAUGGAACUGAAACACGGUCCAUACACCUACGGGUGGCAGCAGUAGGGAAUAUUAGUAAUGGGCGAAAGCCUGAACUAGCAACGCCGCGUGUGCGAAGAAGGCCUUCGGGUCGUAAAGCACUUUUUGAGAGGAUGAGGAAGGACGGUACUCUCAGAAUAAGUCUCGGCUAACUACGUGCCAGCAGCCGCGGUAACACGUAGGAGGCAAACGUUAUCCGGAUUUACUGGGCGUAAAGCGCGUGUAGGUGGUUUGGUAAGUAGGGCGUGAAAGCUCCUGGCUCAACUGGGAGAGGACGUUCUAAACUGCCAAGCUUGAGGAUGGUAGAGGGAGGUGGAAUUCCGGGUGUAGCGGUGGAAUGCGCAGAUAUCCGGAGGAACACCAGUGGCGAAGGCGGCCUCCUGGACCACUCCUGACACUCAGACGCGAAAGCUAGGGUAGCAAACGGGAUUAGAGACCCCGGUAGUCCUAGCCCUAAACGAUGUAGACUUGGCGUCGGUGGUUUAAUCCCCAUCGGUGUCGUAGCUAACGCGAUAAGUCUACCGCCUGGGGACUACGGCCCGCAAGGUUAAAUCUCAAAACG
RNAcentral lists this ribosomal RNA (880 nucleotides) under uncultured Chloroflexota bacterium. Its description in RNAcentral is "bacterial SSU rRNA". It matches the Rfam family "Bacterial small subunit ribosomal RNA", at positions 9 to 908 of the family's 1533-position model. The record is from RNAcentral. Lineage: Bacteria; Bacillati; Chloroflexota.